Molecule: long non-coding RNA, 397 nt
Filed under: Elaeis guineensis (African oil palm)
Lineage: Eukaryota; Viridiplantae; Streptophyta; Magnoliopsida; Arecales; Arecaceae
Description: long non-coding RNA (EGUI_LNC078619)
Source: RNAcentral
AGCACAGUAUGCUAGUACUGCGCUGAUCCUUCUUUGAUGGUUGAUCAGGUGCCUCCUUCUUCUUGAUUUGGACUCUUCCAAAGGUGAAAAGUAGAAGGAGUUUCAGAUCUAAGAUGCUCUUAGGAAACUCAAGAUGGAGGGAGGAAAGAUAUGAAAACAAACAACCCUAGAAGAAGACCCUCUUCUUCUUCUCGUUUCUCUCUCUAGACACCCUAUCUUGUGUCUAUUAUAUCUCUACAACCCAAGGGUCUUUCUCUCUAAUUUUUGGAUGGCCCAAAGAAAUCUCAAAUCUCUAUCUACUUCAAAAAUUUUAUGAAGAAACUUGUUUUAUACAGAGAGAUAUGAUAGAGUCCUUGUCUAGGUCAAAUACCUAGUCAAGGCUUAUCCAAAUAUGGCA